RNAcentral lists this long non-coding RNA (1116 nucleotides) under Sorghum bicolor (sorghum). RNAcentral describes it as "long non-coding RNA (SBIC_LNC004873)". Lineage: Eukaryota; Viridiplantae; Streptophyta; Magnoliopsida; Poales; Poaceae. The record is from RNAcentral.
CGCGGCUGUUUGUUGCUCGGUUGAAGUCGUGGUGAGCCUCUGUCGCUUUUGCGCUACUCUCUUCGCUCUCUACUCAAGCGUAGUGGCCGGUGUUUGCCCGGCCGAGGCGGCCGUCCGCCGUGUCCGUGGUCGCGGGGGUUAGGGGAGGAGAAAGGGGGUGACAAGGGUAUCCAGAGGUGCGCCUUGGAGUGGAGAACACGACCAGCAGGUCACGAGAAGCAGAGGAGGCACGGAUGGCUCGGUCGCGCCGUCGAUUUGGCCGGCCGGAGGUUGAAGACGGAGCUGACAGCGAGGGCCCGCUGUCAGCGACGUCCUGAGGGGAGGCGAGGGCGCGAGCGCGCGCAGCGCGGGUACGGGCCGAGCGCGUGUGGGCCGGCCUGCGGCCCAGUUUCCAGGCCGCCCGCUGCGCUGUUUUUUUUUCUUUUUCCUUUUUGAUUAAAAUUGCUUGAUGUUUGAAUUUAUGUUAUAAAUUUUGUAGUGAUCCAAAAAUGAUGAAAAUUUUUGUAUAAAUUCCCUGAAAUAGUUAGAACCCAAGAAAAAUAUUAGGCUCUGUUUUCUGAUAAUUUGCCAGGUUAUGAAAAUUGGCUCUUUUAAUUACCAAAUAAAGCUUUGAUGAAUUUUAAUAAUUUAUUAGUAUGUCCAAAAAUCACCAAAAAUUGUGAGAUGCCUCUGAAUAUUAUUCCCUGGCUCCACACAAAAUUUGGUGGCAUUUGGAUAAUGUUUGUUUAAAAUAUUAAUAAACCCUUAUUUAACACUUAAAUAAUAAUUCCAAAAUAAUUAAAUAGUGAUUAUUUAGAUCCUCAUAAUUAGGGUUGAGUGAUUUUGGGAUUGUGUGAUGACCUGAGGUCAUUAACCCUAAUGACCUUUGGCAUUUAAUUAUUGUUUAGCCUUAAUGCUUAAUUACUGUCAUUUGUAAUUAAUUAAGAGUUAAUUAAGGUAAUUAGGAUUAAUAAUUAACUAAUUUAAGAUAAGUAUGAAUUAAAUAAAGUCUUAGUUUACAGAUGCAACCUCUUGGGUAAAAUCAUUAAGUUAUUAAGCAACUUUAUUUAGCGAUAAUUUUGUAUUGCAUCAAGAAGGCGAGUUGUACUUGAUUUGGUCCUUCUUGCAUAUUUGUCA